RNAcentral lists this long non-coding RNA (8713 nucleotides) under Equus asinus (donkey). RNAcentral describes it as "lncRNA (ENSEASG00005036897.1)". Lineage: Eukaryota; Metazoa; Chordata; Mammalia; Perissodactyla; Equidae. The record is from RNAcentral.
UUUUAUUAUACCACCUACCACCUACCACCCCCUCCCCAAAUGUCUGUUCUAUAUAAGCUGGUUUUUCAUCAGCAAUGGAUAUGUUAUGUUGUGGGAGAGGGAUGUGUGUGAGGGAAAGGGGGCAGAAAUAGUUAUCCCAGUGAAUGUAGGCUCCGAGAUUGUGUCCAGGCCAAUGGAAAUGUUUUUGAAUUGUUACUGUAAAUUAGCAUAUUAAAGGUAUAAGAAUAGUUUUAUUUUCUGCUCUUUCUCCCCAAAUCCCCCCCACUACAUACAACUAGUUGUAUAUUCUAGUUGUGAGUACCUCUGGUUGAGCUAUGAGGGAUGCCGCCUCAGCAUGGCGUGAUGAGCAGUGCCAUGUCCGCGCCCAGGAUCCGAUCCGGUGAAACCCUGGGCUGCUGAAGCAGAAUGCGUGAACCUUACCACUGGGCCACAGGGCCAGCCCCAAGAAUAGUUUUUAAAAGAUAGAAGGUUACAAUGUGAAAAUCUUCAGCAGCAUAAGGUUUACUAUUACAUGAUUCUAAAACAAUGGAAGGAAAGAUCAAACGGUAUCUUUCGUGUAACAUUUAUUAAGCCUCUGUUCCAAGUCCUGGGCUAGGUGCUGGGGAGCACAGAUGAAUAAGGCAUUUUUUUUUGCCCUUGAAUAACUCACAUUCUUGUGGGGGACACAGACAUGUGAGCAUAUAAUUAUUAUGUGGUAUGAAGACUCUAUAAUACUGGUGUAUACUGGAUACAGAUGUAAAGUAUCAAGGGAGCACAGAAGAAAGAAUGAUUAAUUUUGACUCAGGAUAUCAGGAAGGUUUCAAUGGGGAUCUGAUCUUUGGGCAGGGCCUUGAAGGAUGAGUAGGAGUUUGCCAGGUUGAUGAACUGUGAUGGAAGGCAUUGCUAGGCAGAGAGAAUAAUGAAUUGCAUGAGUAGAGGCAGAAAGGCUGCAUUUGGGUCCUUGGUACACCUAUGACCUCUAAGGACUCUGAAGAUUAAUACAAACCUGAGUCCGUGCUUCAGUUUCAUGUGCAUACAGACCAUCUGGGGAUCUUGUUAACGUGCAGAUCCUGAUUCAGAAGGUCUAGGGGGGACUGAAAUUCUGCAUUUCUAACCAGCUCCCAGGGGGCCAUGCACCACCACCUUUUGAGUAAAAAGGCUCUAACACCAUAAACUGUUGUCUACUUCAGCUGGGUCUGCUAGUUGGUGCAACCUAAGAGCAAGAUGGAGAGCACAAAUUUGUCUUUUACUGUGAGCAAGUUAACAAAAAGUACCAGGAACCUCUCUUUUUAAGACUGUGGCAUUUCAGAAACAGAUUCUGCAUUGUACCUGAACUAGCCAGUAAAGCGAGGGUGACUCAUCUUGGAGGUCACGGUACAGGUCACGUGGGAGCAGGCACUGCAGGAAAGGUGAGGGAAGAGUUCAGACCUGCCCGGACAGUUCCUGUGGGUGUAGGCAGCCGGGCAGUGCUGAACUCCUGAGUCUGGGGGUCUGUAGGGGGAGGUGGAAAGGAAAGCAGGACCCAUGGGACUUGCGCAAGUUUUAAAUUGACUGGGGCUCCUGCAGAAUGAUAACAAUCAGAAAACCGCAACCCAAAUGACCAUUUUGGGUUAUUUUGAUGAUGCUUUCUCAGGUGUUUUUCAGUGAGGAAAUAGCUGCAUCAGUUGAGAUGCUCUGGUUUGAAUUCAUGACAAUGUCCUUUCUUAAAAAUAAUGUUUUUUGGGCCAGCCCCAUGGCCGAGUUUGUGUGCUCUGCUGUGGUGGCCCAGGGUUUUGCUGGUUCGGAUCCUCGGCGCAGACAUGGCACCACUCGUCAGGCCACAUUGAGACGGCGUCCCACAUGCCACAACUAGAAGGACCUACAACUAAGAUAUACAACUAGGUACCAGGGGGAUUUGGGGAGAUAGAAGCAGAAAGAAAAAAAACAAAGAUUGGCAACAGUUGUUAGCUCAGGUGCCAAUCUUUAAAAAAAAAAAAAACCUGUUUUUGAUCAUAGAAGUAAUAGUUAUUCUUUGCAGAACAUUUGACAAUAAAUCAUGUUUUUGGGUGGUCAUAGUUAAAUAGACUAUCUGGGCUAAUUUUCUUUUGUUCCUAUUUUCCCUACAUCCCCCAGUCGCCCUUCCUUCCUUGGGGAGCUGGCUCUGGCAAGUGGUUUGGCGAUGUGAUAAACAGAAUCCUGGAGGGCCCACCUAUUGUGCUCAAGACAGACUGUGAUCUCCAAAUGAGAUCACUGGGCUUUUCUUCACUUUCAUCUUCCCUGCUAUUAUGCUGGUUGCGAAAUGCAAUGGGGAGACUUUAUGAGACUAAUAAAGGAGGAGGAAAGAUCAAGUGAUUAGUUUUCACAAGAAGAAUAAUUCUGCUCAUGCCUUCCUUCCCAGGAUGAAGUUUACAACCUGCACAGAUGGACUGGAGCAGACCACAUAGCUGGAAUUUAGCACCCAGGGACUGGGAUAACCUCACUAGCUCUGUGUCCUUGAACAUGCCCCCACAAAGACCUCUGUAGAGACAAGACCAUAUUAGAUCAUACUUGAAUGAUAAGCAAAUAUUAAUGCCAAGGACUCACUAAGAAUAAAAUCAGACAGACACGUGAAUUUGCUGGAGAGAAUUAUAAAAUCAGAGGCUGAAGGAGAUUGGCGAUGAGGACCUCACAAUUCAAAGUCCAUUCAAGACAUCUUUGAUACAUUCCCAAACACAAGGUCAUCUGGAUGCCUGCAUCUUGGGGCUCACUAAAGAGCAUGUUAAUCUCCUGGAAGUGCUUGUUGGAAACGUAGAUGCCUGCUGACCCUGAGAAGCUCCUGGAGACGAUGCUGCUGCAGGUGGGCUGAGCCCAUUGUCUGCGUGUUACUGCCAUCACGGCGUCACACUGGUUGACAAGUGCAGGUCUUGUGCCACUCAGAAAGAAAGUCGUGUUUUCUCUCCCACUGAUCUCUCACCAAGAACUAUGAGUAAAGACUAAAUAAAAGGAACAGGUCUAAAGAAAAACAACACAGAAUAGACAAACCCCCAGUUUUAUAUGGAUGUACUUCUGAAAGGUUGUAUAUAAAUCAGAUUUGUGUGAGUUAAUCUUUACUUUCCCUUCACUUAAAUCUCAACAUGUUAUAGUCACUUUUGAUUUUCAUGUGGGAGUGACUCUGCCACAUUCACUUUAUUUUUCAUCUCCACGUAGCCUCCCCACCAUGAACUUAACUACCUGUGAAUGGACUAAGGAGAAUAAGCAAGAGCAUGGAGGGCCAUCUGCCUCCCGGCAGCAGAGCUCUUCCUCACUGGGGGCCCCCCUCCCACACACUGACAGCUGGGGUCUCAUCUCUCUCGGGGUCACACUGCUGUGGGUUUCCUGCAUCUGUGUGUGGGAUUUGCGUUCUGCCCAAGGCCCUGGCUCUCUCUGCGCUCUGCCCCCGCUGACUGUUCCCUGGCUGACCUGUCAAGUUGUGGCUGGAGACCCAGAAUGACCUAGCCCUUGCCUAUUCCUCAGGAUACACCACCUGUCAGACCAGUUGCCCUGGUUGGGCUGGUCUCCUGUCUGGCUCCACUCUGGGUCAGUACCAUCUACUGACAAGAGGGCCCAGAAGCCAUUCCCAGUUGGAGCUCAUGCUCAUGUGCAUGCUUGGCAGCCAGCAACUCCUACCAGUGUUUGCUACCAGAGUGGGUAAAAUACACGCUCACAAAGAAAGACAGACAACCAAAAAGCUUUUGUCCCCCAACAAUGGUCUCCCCUGAGGUGCUCUAUCUCUUCUUCCUCCUACCUCUCUGCCCUCAAACCCCACAAAUAUGUCUGUCUUGUCCAUGCAAAACCCACUGGAUCCUAUUCUCCUAUUUUUUUACUUGUCUGUCACAAAAUUCCGGGAAACAAAGAAUAAACCAGAUGUCUUACUGCUUAGAGAAGAAUCGCCUUGACGGACCAGAAACCGUUCAAGACUGCUGGUCCCUUCCUCAGAAGAACACAUUUUCCUGUCUCCUCAGUUCUGGCGGCAGGAGUGUUAGAGCUGCUGCUGGGCCUUGGCUAUCUGGCUGUACCAGGGGCUUGCAGGGAGUACCUUGCCAGCCCUGCUCUCUGACACCAGGGGGCUGAUUCAAACCCAGGCCAGGGACAGACAGUGCCAAGCCAAGUGACACUCUCAACCUGGGCUGUCGCAUGGACUUGCUGCUUCAGCGAGAUCCUGAGACACAUCUAAAGACUGAAAAGUCUAAGGAAAGCCAGGCAGGUGACAGAAAUGAGAGAAGCUUGCAGGGAAACAGCCCAAUAAUAAGUGGAGAUUGCCACUGACUUCUCUGUCCUGAAGGGGCAGCCGUCUAGACGCAGUGUUCCCACGACUUUUGAGAUGUAUAUAUAUAUAUAUAUAUCUUGAGAUAUAUAUAUAUACUUUGUGUGUGUGAGUGUGUGAGGAAGAUUGUUGCUGAGCUACCAUCUGUGCCAAUCUUCCUCUACUUUAUGUGGGACGCUGCCACAGUGUGGCUUGAUGAGCAGUGCUAGGUCUGUGCCUGGGAUCCAAAGCUGCAAACCCUGGGCACCCAAAGCAGAGUGCGUGAACUUAACCACUACACCACGGGGCUGGUCCCUUGAUAUAUUUUUUUUAAAGAGAAGCUAGAUAUCUGGGUUUUUAUGUAAAAUCUCUUAAUUAAAGAGCAAUGAUAUCUAAUUCAGGGUUUUUAAAAAUAUCAUGUGGGCCAGACGAGUUGUGUUCAUGGGCCAAAUCUGGGCUGUAGGCUACCAGUCUGUGAUCUCUGGACCAGAUUCUUCCUUUGGAUGUGGCUUCACCUGCUCCUUUUGCUUCUUUACUAUCCUCUCUGGUUUGUCCUUAUGCUCCCAGACUCUCAGCUUGAUUUUACCUUUUGCACCCCUCUUUCUCUAAUUCCUAUCUCCAGGCUCACUUGUGUCCCCCCAGCUGCCUAACACGUGCCCUCCUGGUCUGCCUUCUGCUGCUGCUUCCAGGACACUGGCAGUUGCCUAUGAACACAGCCUUCCCCUGGGAGCACCGGCAUGGGUGAAGGCGCCAUGUGUGUCACAGCAUCCUGAUCCCCUCAUAUCCCCGCAGGCUGAGGGCUUGCUCUCCAAAUACACCAUCUCCAACCACAGGAUUGACCAACCCCAAACCAAGUGUACCUUGCCAGGGUAUCUGAGAACUCCCAGUGGCCACAGGCUUCACGAACCUGCUCUUCUAUAUUCUCUUCCUUCUCUCAGACAGUGAUGACCAAACUUUUUAGAUUGUGCAAUAGAAUAAAGUUUUAAGCAUGCAUAAAAUUUAACUUUAUGUAUUUAUUUUAUGUAUUUAUAUUUAUUUAUAAUUUAUAUGCAUUCUAUUUUUGUAUUAUGUAUAAUAUGUAUGUUCAAAAUGGAAACAGAAAGAAUGACAUAAAAAUAAAUAUAUAUAGAGGGUGUAAUAUUUUCUCCCCACACCCUAGUGGGUUCCCCACUGCUCCAGGAUUUCUUCCAUUUCCACUCUCCAACUUAGAGAAUGUUUGUAUUGAGAAAGUUGGAUCUGUCGGUGAGCUUGGGGCCAGGAAGCAGGAGACUUGCCCACUAGUCCUCUUUUACUAACUCACAAGUUGUUUGAACAGGAGACUAGACCUCAAAGCUCCUGGAUCUCUGGAUACUGACCCUAUGUAGCUACUCAGAUGCUUCCCCGUGCCUGUGGGUUCUAGGCGGCUUCUUCUGGCCUCAUCUGAACAAGGGAAGGAAUUAUGCUAAAUGAUCUCUACAGUCCCAAGAGCACCAACUCUCUAGGAGUCAUAUGUGGGCCAUUUACCCUGGAAGCAUAAAUGAAGCUGACUGGUGUGGGAGGAAUUAUAGCCACUGCCAGUAGUCCUGUUCCUGGGUCCGAACUAAAAGAAUCUUUUGCCACUAUUCCUACCUCUCCUACCUCAAAUCAGUCCCUCUUUGUUUCUCACAUGGACCACCCAGUGCCCUCCUAAAUCAUCUCCCUCCCACCUUUCUUAGGUCCUUCUAAUCCACCCUCCAUAUGGCUGCCUACAGGCGCUUUCUGACCUGUGGGUCUCACCAUAUUAUCGUCCUGGUUGUUUCUUCAGUAGCUCCCCAUUAUCUUUAGGGUAAAAUCUAAACUUCUUAGGUCAGCCUACAAGACCCUAUCUUACCAGCCGGAUCUCUCUCUUUCUUUCUUAAAUCUCCCCCCAAUGCAACUUACGCUCCGCUUACUGCCAACAUCAUAUUCUUUUUAGGAACAUGCCAUGCUGCAUACCUCAUCUGGGUCUUUGCUCACAUUAUUUCCUCAGCCUGAAAUGUCCUCCCUUCUCAUUUCUGUCCUCCCUGCUUUUUUUCUCUAGCUUUUUCACCUUUUUUUUUUUUACACCUCAUUAUGAAAUGGUAAACAUUUGUGAAAUUCAGAAAGUACAUAAAAGAAAAUCAACUAUAGUCUCAUAAACAACGAAUGUUAGUAUUUGGGCAUAGUUCCUCCAAUCUUUCAGACCUUUCCAUUUUUCUUUAUACGAACAUUUUGUACAUGAAUCUUACGUAUUCUAUUGUUUAUUUUACAGUAAUUCUUUUUUCAUGAUUCUAAAAUGUCUUUAAUUUGAUGACAUUACAUUAAUUCUUUAUUCGUAAACGUAUUUCUUUGAAAACUUCUCGAAAAUAUAAUUUUAAAAUUUUUAUUUUAAGAUUUUAGACUUACAGAAGAGUUUCAAAAGUACUAGAGAAUUCCUGCUCACCCUUCACCUAGCUUCUCCCUAAUGUUAACAUCUUAAAUAACUAUAGUACAAUUAUUGAAACGAAAAAACUAACAUUUGGUGCAAUUGUUUUAAUUAAACUACAGACUUUGUUCUGAUUUCAUCAGUUUUUUUCCCAAUAAUGUCCUUCUUGUGUUCUGGGAUCAAUCCCAAAUCCACAUUGUAUUUAGUUGUCACAUCUCCUUACUUGCCUCCAAGAACGUGACAGUUCCUCAGUCUUUAUCUUUUACGACCUUGGGAUUUUUAGAGUGGUAUACAGUUAUUUUGUAGAAUGUCUCCCGAUUUGGGUGUCUCUGAUGUUUUCUCGUGAUUAGGUUGAGAUUCUACAUUACUGGGAAGAAUCUCCCAGGGGUCAUGGCACCCUCGGUGCAUCCUAUGGGGGGCACAUCAUGUCAAUGUGUCUUCUUAUUGGUUUUAACCUGAAUUAUUUGCUUAAGGUGGUGUCUGCUAGGUUUCUCUACCUUAAAGUUACUACUUUUCUCUUUGUAAAUAAUAUUUAUUUAGAGGAGAUACUUUGAGAGCAUACAAAUGUCAUGUUUCUCCUUAAACUUUUGCCUGCUAAUUUUAGCAUCCAUCAGUGGCUCUUGCUUGCAGCAAUUAUUACCAUGGUGUUCUAAUGGUCAUUUUCUAUUUACCUCACUCCUUAUAUUUUUAAACUGGAAUUCUUCUGUAAAGAAGAGUUGUCCCUUCUCCCCAGUUUAUUUAUAUCAGUAUGGACUCGGGGAUAUUUAUUUUAACCUUUGGGUUUUAAUCCAGUACUAUUCUUACUUAUUUUAUUGCUCAAAUUGUUCAAGCCUUGGCCAUUGGGAGCUCUUUCAGGUUGACUUCCAUGCACUUUCAACAGGUCCCCCAUCCUUUUUUUGGAGGGGCCCUUCCUUCCCUUCUGGCAUAACUUGAAUCUUACCUGUUCCAGUCCUGGAAUCCACUGUGUCUCCAAGGAACCAUGAUUCCUUUUGUCAGAGAACGGUAUUUAGAAAUCAAAGCCUAGGUGCUAAGUUGUAUUUUUGGGUCCAAGAAUAUAGUUGUUAUUAAUGGCUCAGUAUUCACGUUGACAGACUCUUUCUCCAAUAAGGUUAAAUUAGCUUACAGUGCCAACAACUAUUUUGCAGUUUUACUAUAACAGAUUGUCUAUUCGGAUGAAUUAUCAUUCAUUUUUCUCUUCCUUCUUCCCUCCUUUCCUUUUUUCUUUCUUUUCUAAUAUAGUGAGAAAAAUGUACUUUAUUUUCCAAUUACAAGUGAGUUUGGGUAUUUCAUUCAUUCAGCAAAACUGCAGUGAUGCUGCCUAGAAAUCAGGUACUGUUCUAGGCACUGGGGAUGUAGCAGUGAGUAAAAUUCCUGUCCACACAGAGCUGGCUUCCAGCAGGGGGAAGAGGCAAUAAAUAAUCACACUCAAUAGUAUUAAAAACGGAGUGAAAAGUGCUAUAGAGAAAAGUAAAGCAGAAGCAGGGGAUGGUACCUUAGUGGGUAAUAUCUGUGAUUUUCAAUAGGCGGUCAGAGAAAGCCUUCCUAAGGUGACAUUUGAACAAAGGCCUAAAAAAGUGAGUUUAAGACAAACCCAUAGCCAACAUCAUACUCAAUGGGCAAAAACUGAACCCCAUCCCCCUGAAAACAGGAACAAGACAAGGAUGCCCUCUAUCACCACUCUUAUUUAACAUAGUACUGGAGGUCCUGGCCAGAGCAAUCAGGCAAGAAAAAGGAAUAAAAGGAAUCCAAAUAGGGAGGGAAGAAGUGAAACUCUUGCUGUUUGCAGAUGACAUGAUCUUAUAUAUAGAAAACCCCAAAGAAUCCAUUGGAAAACUGUUAGAAGUAAUCAACAACUACAGCAAAGUUGCAGGGUAUGAAAUCAAUUUGCAUAAAUCAGUAGCAUUUCUAUACUCCAGUAAUGAACCAACAGAAAAAGAACUCAAGAAUACAAUACCAUUCACAAUCGCAACAAAAAGAAUAAAAUACCUUGGGGUAAAUUUAACUAAGGAAGUGAAGGACCUAUAUAAUGAAAAUUACAAGGCCUUUCUGAGAGAAUUGGAUGACAACAUAAGGAGAUGGAAAGACAUUCCAUG